GCCAAAAACUAGCCUGCACAACACACCAUAAAUCACUUCACACAAACUAAACCAUUUACCAAAUCCAGUAUAUGAGAUAGAACUUUAAACACAGCGCAAUAGCCCAAAUCGUACCACAAGGGAACCAUGAAAGACUAAUUAAUAACCACAAGCACAGCACAGCAGGGCUAAAGCCCCGUACCUCCUGCAUCAUGGUUUAGCCAGCAGCUCGCCGACAAAGUGCCCUGUGUCCGCC
RNAcentral lists this ribosomal RNA (235 nucleotides) under Gekko hokouensis. RNAcentral's name for it is "partial 16S ribosomal RNA". The record is from RNAcentral. Lineage: Eukaryota; Metazoa; Chordata; Lepidosauria; Squamata; Gekkonidae.